ACAAUUUUCAUUACGCUGCGGAUAGUGCUUUCGAGCGGCAGCGGAAAGUAGCUUGCUACUUUGCCGGCGAGCGGCGGACGGGUGAGUAAUGUCUGGGAAACUGCCUGAUGGAGGGGGAUAACUACUGGAAACGGUAGCUAAUACCGCAUAACGUCGCAAGACCAAAGAGGGGGACCUUCGGGCCUCUUGCCAUCAGAUGUGCCCAGAUGGGAUUAGCUAGUAGGUGGGGUAACGGCUCACCUAGGCGACGAUCCCUAGCUGGUCUGAGAGGAUGACCAGCCACACUGGAACUGAGACACGGUCCAGACUCCUACGGGAGGCAGCAGUGGGGAAUAUUGCACAAUGGGCGCAAGCCUGAUGCAGCCAUGCCGCGUGUAUGAAGAAGGCCUUCGGGUUGUAAAGUACUUUCAGCGGGGAGGAAGGCGUUGAGGUUAAUAACCUCAGCGAUUGACGUUACCCGCAGAAGAAGCACCGGCUAACUCCGUGCCAGCAGCCGCGGUAAUACGGAGGGUGCAAGCGUUAAUCGGAAUUACUGGGCGUAAAGCGCACGCAGGCGGUCUGUCAAGUCGGAUGUGAAAUCCCCGGGCUCAACCUGGGAACUGCAUUCGAAACUGGCAGGCUAGAGUCUUGUAGAGGGGGGUAGAAUUCCAGGUGUAGCGGUGAAAUGCGUAGAGAUCUGGAGGAAUACCGGUGGCGAAGGCGGCCCCCUGGACAAAGACUGACGCUCAGGUGCGAAAGCGUGGGGAGCAAACAGGAUUAGAUACCCUGGUAGUCCACGCCGUAAACGAUGUCGACUUGGAGGUUGUGCCCUUGAGGCGUGGCUUCCGGAGCUAACGCGUUAAGUCGACCGCCUGGGGAGUACGGCCGCAAGGUUAAAACUCAAUGAAUUGACGGGGGCCCGCACAAGCGGUGGAGCAUGUGGUUUAAUUCAAUGCAACGCGAAGACCCUUACCUACUCUUGACAUCCAGAGAACUUAACAGAGAUGCUUUGUGCCUUCGGAACUCUGAGACAGGUGCUGCAUGGCUGUCGUCAGCUCGUGUGUGAAAUGUUGGAUUAAGUCCCGCAACCGAGCGCAACCUAUCCUUUGGUGCCAGCGGUUCCGACGGAACUCAAAGGAACUGCAAUGAUAACUGAGAACUGGGAUGACUCAUUCCAUCAUGGCCUACAGUAGGCCUACACCGG
RNAcentral lists this ribosomal RNA (1183 nucleotides) under Pantoea agglomerans. Its description in RNAcentral is "bacterial SSU rRNA". It matches the Rfam family "Bacterial small subunit ribosomal RNA", at positions 17 to 1222 of the family's 1533-position model. The record is from RNAcentral. Lineage: Bacteria; Pseudomonadati; Pseudomonadota; Gammaproteobacteria; Enterobacterales; Erwiniaceae.